UUGCAGUUAAAAAGCUCGUAGUUGGAUUUCUGCGGGGGCGGGGCGGCCGGUUGCUUAUAGCAACUUGAGCUAGCACUUCCCCUGCAUCCUGCCGCGAACCGUGCUACCAUUAGUUUGGUGGCGCCGGGGAUCGGCUCGUUUACUUUGAGAAAAAUAGAGUGUUCAAAGCAGGCCACACGCCUUGAAUAAGUUAGCAUGGAAUAAUGAUAAAGGACUUCGGUUCUAUUUUGUUGGUGUUCGGGACUGAAGUAAUGAUUGAUAGGGACAGUUGGGGCGGUCCGUAUUCCAAAGCGAGAGGUGAAAUUCUUAGACCUUCGGAAGACGAACAGCUGCGAAAGCGUUCCGCAAGGAUGUUCCCUUUGAUCAAGAACGAAAGUUGGGGGAUCGAAGACGAUCCAGAUACCGUCGUAGUCUCAACUAUAAACCUAUACCAGCUAGGGAUCGGCCAACCGUUUAAUUACACCCGACUUGGUCGGCAC
Molecule: ribosomal RNA, 479 nt
Filed under: uncultured marine eukaryote
Lineage: Eukaryota
Description: bacterial SSU rRNA
Rfam family: Eukaryotic small subunit ribosomal RNA
Source: RNAcentral